RNAcentral lists this ribosomal RNA (374 nucleotides) under Staphylococcus aureus. RNAcentral's name for it is "partial 23S ribosomal RNA". It matches the Rfam family "Bacterial large subunit ribosomal RNA", at positions 1603 to 1978 of the family's 2925-position model. The record is from RNAcentral. Lineage: Bacteria; Bacillati; Bacillota; Bacilli; Caryophanales; Staphylococcaceae.
CACUGCCGAGAAAAGCCUCUAGAUAGAAAAUAGGUGCCCGUACCGCAAACCGACACAGGUAGUCAAGAUGAGAAUUCUAAGGUGAGCGAGCGAACUCUCGUUAAGGAACUCGGCAAAAUGACCCCGUAACUUCGGGAGAAGGGGUGCUCUUUAGGGUUAACGCCCAGAAGAGCCGCAGUGAAUAGGCCCAAGCGACUGUUUAUCAAAAACACAGGUCUCUGCUAAACCGUAAGGUGAUGUAUAGGGGCUGACGCCUGCCCGGUGCUGGAAGGUUAAGAGGAGUGGUUAGCUUCUGCGAAGCUACGAAUCGAAGCCCCAGUAAACGGCGGCCGUAACUAUAACGGUCCUAAGGUAGCGAAAUUCCUUGUCGGGUA